UCUGGACAAAAGCACCCACGUUUGCAAGAUUCAAUGCAGUGACGGCAGAAAGUGUAUGGGCAUGAAGAUUCAAAGAAAAAGAUGCGGCCGUUGAAAGAUUUAUAUGCUCCUUUGCUCCAGGUACCUGAACCACUAAGGCCAGUUUCACCAAAUUCAUUUAGUCCAGAAGCACCAACACCAAGUUCAUCUGCACUCUUACCUCCUCCACCACUUCCAGAAUCAGAAGACCAAGUGUUUCCUCCUAAUGGAAAUCAAAAUUCUCUGGAUCAGAAUUCCUGAGUCACUGACAUGAGCACCAAGGUCAAUGGAUUCACAACUAGUGAACUCCUUGUUCUUGUUUCUA
Molecule: long non-coding RNA, 343 nt
Filed under: Homo sapiens (human)
Lineage: Eukaryota; Metazoa; Chordata; Mammalia; Primates; Hominidae
Description: non-protein coding lnc-SLC2A13-3:2
Source: RNAcentral